RNAcentral lists this long non-coding RNA (357 nucleotides) under Fukomys damarensis (Damara mole-rat). RNAcentral's name for it is "lncRNA (ENSFDAG00000022307.1)". Lineage: Eukaryota; Metazoa; Chordata; Mammalia; Rodentia; Bathyergidae. The record is from RNAcentral.
CUUGAUUCUCUUAUCUCCAGGGCUCUAUGAAUGUUUCUGACUAGAGUCCUUUCUGCUCAUUUACAAAAGGACUCCCUCCCCAGAGCCUGGCUGGUGCCUGGACAUGCCUCCACCAAGGAGGCAGGGUCUGCUUGAACCACAGCUCUGUUUGGGUCCUGGGAUAACUCAGCCUCCCUAUAGCGGGAUUCUCCUGAUCCUGCAAACCUUCGUUAUAUCAGAAACAAAAGGAGGAGCGGGCUGAAAAGGACCAGUAUGAAGUAGACUGGCUGGGAACUUGAAACAGACACAAUCCUGGCUGCAGGCGCAAUUCUUCCUUCUCCUGAUGCCCUGGACAUCACAGAGUUACAGAGGAACCCA